UACGAAGGGGGCUAGCGUUGCUCGGAUUGACUGGGCGUAAAGGGCGCGUAGGCGGUUUGCACAGUCAGACGUGAAAUUCCUGGGCUUAACCUGGGGGCUGCGUUUGAUACGUGCAGGCUUGAGUUCGGAAGAGGGUCGUGGAAUUCCCAGUGUAGAGGUGAAAUUCGUAGAUAUCGGGAGGAACACCUAUGGCGAAGGCAGCUCGCUGGGACGUUACUGACGCUGAGACGCGAAAGCGUGGGGAGCAAACAGG
RNAcentral lists this ribosomal RNA (253 nucleotides) under uncultured bacterium. Its description in RNAcentral is "partial 16S ribosomal RNA". It matches the Rfam family "Bacterial small subunit ribosomal RNA", at positions 524 to 776 of the family's 1533-position model. The record is from RNAcentral.